GGGGUUGUUGCUCAGCGGUAGGCCACUCACCUAGCACGUGAAAGGCCCUGGGUUCAAUCCUCAGCACCACA
This 71-nucleotide transfer RNA is filed under the name Marmota monax (woodchuck). Its description in RNAcentral is "tRNA.Ala". Lineage: Eukaryota; Metazoa; Chordata; Mammalia; Rodentia; Sciuridae. The record is from RNAcentral.